AUUGAACGCUGGCGGCAUGCUUUACACAUGCAAGUCGAACGGCAGCGCGGGCUUCGGCCUGGCGGCGAGUGGCGAACGGGUGAGUAAUGCAUCGGAACGUGCCCAGUCGUGGGGGAUAGCCCGGCGAAAGCCGGAUUAAUACCGCAUACGACCUGAGGGUGAAAGCGGGGGUCCGAAAGGCCUCGCGCUAUUGGAGCGGCCGAUGUCGGAUUAGCUAGUUGGUGGGGUAAAGGCUUACCAAGGCGACGAUCCGUAGCUGGUCUGAGAGGACGACCAGCCACACUGGGACUGAGACACGGCCCAGACUCCUACGGGAGGCAGCAGUGGGGAAUUUUGGACAAGGGGGGCAACCCUGAUCCAGCCAUGCCGCGUGCGGGAAGAAGGCCUUCGGGUUGUAAACCGCUUUUGUUCGGGAAGAAAUCCUCUGGGCUAAUACCCCGGGGGGAUGACGGUACCGGAAGAAUAAGCACCGGCUAACUACGU
This 483-nucleotide ribosomal RNA is filed under the name uncultured bacterium. RNAcentral's name for it is "partial 16S ribosomal RNA". It matches the Rfam family "Bacterial small subunit ribosomal RNA", at positions 28 to 506 of the family's 1533-position model. The record is from RNAcentral.